RNAcentral lists this ribosomal RNA (656 nucleotides) under Proterops sp. RDB-2000. RNAcentral describes it as "eukaryotic LSU rRNA". The record is from RNAcentral. Lineage: Eukaryota; Metazoa; Arthropoda; Insecta; Hymenoptera; Braconidae.
CCUGUGAAACCCAAAAGAUCGAAUGAGGAGAUUCAUCGUCAAUGUAUUUGGUAUUAAUAUAAAUUAUGAUGUGAUUAUAUUUACUUGUAAUUAUAUAUUAUACAUAUUUAUAUUAUUAUAAUUGCUAAAUUACGUCGGCGUGCACUUUUCCUUUAGUAGGACGUCGCGACCCGUUGGAUUUUGUUGGUCUAUGGCCUAAUUGGUAGCCUUUGAURUUUAAAUGCUUGCAUUUAUUAUAUUAAAGACCAUUGGUGACUGACCAUCUAUCCAACGGAAAUUAUAUGGAAUGAANCCGCACAAUUAUAUAUGUGCGUUAGACCCAUCGCAAGUUCGAUUAAUUUUUAGUAGUAUGGAUUCAAUGCCAUCGCUAUAAUUAAUCAACUGUUAGCAGUAUGGGGUGCUUUAACUGGCUUAUUAAUACCUGUCAGCGAUGCUACUGYUUUGGGUACUCUCAGGACCCGNCUUGAAACACGGACCAAGGAGUCUAACAUGUAUGCAAGUCAUUGGGAUUUUUUAAAAAUAAAAUUAAACCUAAAGGCAUAAUGAAAGUAAAGAUCGUACUUGUGACGAUUAAGGGAAGAUGAGUUAUAUUACGAUAUAAUUUCGCAUUCCCGGGGCGUUUUAUUCUUAUUUUUAAUAAGAGAAGGCGCACCUAG